Molecule: unclassified non-coding RNA, 206 nt
Filed under: uncultured fungus
Lineage: Eukaryota; Fungi
Description: sequence contains ITS1, 5.8S rRNA gene
Source: RNAcentral
UUAAAUAAUUUAUAUUUUCACUCAGACUGCAAUCUUCAGACAGCGUUCAAUGGUGUCUUCGGCGGGCGCGGGCCAGAGGGCAGAAGCCCCCCGGCGGCCGUGAGGCGGGCCCGCCGAAGCAACAAGGUACGAUAAACACGGGUGGGAGGUUGGACCCAGAGGGCCCUCACUCGGUAAUGAUCCUUCCGCAGGUUCACCUACGGAAA